GCAAACAAGAUCCCAUAAGUAGAACAAGAUAGAUCCUAGCCUGAAUAACCGUGAGCAAAACCUCACUGCCUUUACGGUCAGGCAGUUGUGCCCUGGGCCUCCGUGAAUGAAAACUUAAGUUGGAAGCGUUACUGGUAGAAACAGCUAUGAAGGGUGGUGGACAAUCUCUCAGUCACCAAACCCUUGUCUAACUGACUGCAUAGUGGCUCAGCUUUCAUUCAAUUGGGAAAAUUUGAACCAAGGCAGAUUCCUUCAGGGCUGAGAGCCUCAGACUGAUGCAUAAAUACAUUGAAAAUACUUCAGAUUUUCCACAUGAAUACAAGAUGGUUUGAGACUAGAGAAAUACUUCUCUUUAGUUCCUUGGUUUUUAACAUGAAGGUGUCAUUGUGGAGGACCUGGAUUAUGUAUGCUACCUGUGUUUAAAAAUAAUGCGCUUUGCCUAACCUUCAGCAGAAUGUAACUGUUAAGUAUAUUCUAUGUAUAAAAAAAAGUUUAAAGAUGUCUUCAAAGAAGACUAGAGUCUUUAAAUCACUUAUAGCUAUAUUUUACUACAAAAUUCUGUAUAAAGAUAUAUUUAAAUGUUUUAGAGAAAUUUAAGUUACUCCAUAUGAAAUGUUUAAUUUCAGUUACUGUGAAUUCUUCUAAUCAGUUCUUUGAUUUAAAAAGAAAAACCUUUUCCAUCAUAUUAAAAAGAGAAUUAGCUAUGGGAAGAUAUUAAAAGAUUUCUUAGAUGGAUAGGGUUAAAAAAUUUUGUAAUAUAUUUAAAUGUAUAUUUUUGAGAGAGAUACUACAUUGCCAAUGACUUUAUAAAUAAUCUUAAAUUAACUUACAAAUUUAUAAGAUGCAAACCAAAAGAUUUUUUUUUAAAGAGAGAGAGAGAAAAGAGAAAAAAAGCUUUUAUUCUUUUGGAUCUCAUUAUCAGAAGUAUUAUUCAGCUCGAGAAAUCUGAUUCCCAUAUUGGAAAAUGAACGUCCUUAAGUAUUCCUGAAGUGUAAAACUGGGUGUCUCCUCCCAGCUCUUGUUACAGUGUUUCUGACCGCUUCUUCACCCUUCACAGAUUUAAUACAAAGUUACAAGCCUUACUUUUAUAACAUAUCCUACAAGUUUCCUUAAGACUGUUGUUACAGUCUGGCUGAACCCAGUUCCACCUGCAAAGUCUUGCGUUGUGUCUGCAGGCCACACUAGUGGCUACAGAGGCCAUUUUGUUUGUUGAUACUGAGGCCAUGCUGGGGCACCUGAGUCUAAGGUGGGACUGUGUGCAAGGCACUACAGCUCUUCCCAAGGCGUUUGCCAGCUGUUAGCGCUGCAUUUUCAAAGGUCAGAGACUUUUCUUCUGUCUGAGCUGGUCAUGUAGCAGUUUUUUCCUAAACACAAAAUGGCCUCUUGCUUGUCUGGUAAUGAGAUUGUAAAUCCAUUUCCUGCAUGUUCUCCCCAGGCUUGCCUGAGUGUGUGGGGUGCGCAGGUGCGUGCCCGUCUUUUUGUACUGUAACUACCUCAUGGUUUGAAUGGUGAGCGUACUGCUGGUUGUAUUAACAGAGCACAUUUGUCGGGUGAGUUGUGUAUGUAAACUUUUUUUUUAACCCUGUUUGUUUUAUCUGGGGGUUCGUUCAUUAAACUGACAGAUAUUUUUCUAGGAGGGACUAUUAUUGGUUUCCAAAUGCAAUACUCUAUUCUGGUUUUUCCUGAGUGAGCCUGGUUUUGUUACUGUUUUUUUCAUCUAUGAGGGUAAAAGCAUACCCUGAAAAAUCCCUGUGGCCAGUUUGAACACCCCUGCUGUAACCUUCCCUCUGUCUCAUGGUCUUUGUGAACCUGCUUAGAGGUAUAGUUUUGAUAACCACAGUUUUAAUUCUUUUAUCUGUGCAUAAUAAAGAUAUAUAUCAAUUAUUAAUUUA
This 1892-nucleotide long non-coding RNA is filed under the name Rattus norvegicus (Norway rat). RNAcentral describes it as "long non-coding RNA NONRATT009189". The record is from RNAcentral. Lineage: Eukaryota; Metazoa; Chordata; Mammalia; Rodentia; Muridae.